GACGAACGCUGGCGGCGUGCUUAACACAUGCAAGUCGUACGGUAAGGCCCUUUCGGGGGUACACGAGUGGCGAACGGGUGAGUAACACGUGAGUAACCUGCCCACAACUUUGGGAUAACGCUAGGAAACUGGUGCUAAUACUGGAUAUGUGCUCCUGCUGCAUGGUGGGGGUUGGUAAGCUCCGGCGGUUGUGGAUGGACUCGCGGCCUAUCAGCUUGUUGGUGGGGUAGUGGCCUACCAAGGCGGCGACGGGUAGCCGGCCUGAGAGGGUGACCGGCCACAUUGGGACUGAGAUACGGCCCAGACUCCGACGGGAGGCAGCAGUGGGGAAUAUUGCACAAGGGGCGCAAGCCUGAUGCAGCAACGCCGCGUGCGGUAUAACGGCCUUCGGGUUGUAAACCGCUUUCAGCAGGGACGAAUCUUUUUGUGACGGUACCUGCAGAAGAAGCACCGGCUAACUACGUG
This 465-nucleotide ribosomal RNA is filed under the name uncultured bacterium. RNAcentral describes it as "partial 16S ribosomal RNA". It matches the Rfam family "Bacterial small subunit ribosomal RNA", at positions 28 to 507 of the family's 1533-position model. The record is from RNAcentral.